RNAcentral lists this ribosomal RNA (495 nucleotides) under uncultured bacterium. RNAcentral's name for it is "bacterial SSU rRNA". It matches the Rfam family "Bacterial small subunit ribosomal RNA", at positions 28 to 521 of the family's 1533-position model. The record is from RNAcentral.
GACGAACGCUGGCGGCAUGCCUAACACAUGCAAGUCGAACGGAACUUGUUGAAUGAAGUUCUCGGAUGGAUUUUAGCAAGUUUAGUGGCGGACGGGUGAGUAACGCGUGAGCAACCUGCCUUUCAGAGGGGGACAACAGUUGGAAACGACUGCUAAUACCGCAUGAUGUGUCGAGACCGCAUGGUCUUGACACCAAAGAUUUUAUCGCUGAAAGAUGGGCUCGCGUACGAUUAGAUAGUUGGUGAGGUAACGGCUCACCAAGUCGACGAUCGUUAGCCGGACUGAGAGGUUGAACGGCCACAUUGGGACUGAGACACGGCCCAGACUCCUACGGGAGGCAGCAGUGGGGAAUAUUGGGCAAUGGGGGAAACCCUGACCCAGCAACGCCGCGUGAAGGAAGAAGGCCUUCGGGUUGUAAACUUCUUUAGUCAGGACGAAGAACGUGACGGUACCUGGAGAAAAAGCAACGGCUAACUACGUGCCAGCAGCCGCGGU